UAAACCCUCAGCUUCUGAGCGACACCAUUGC
This 31-nucleotide non-coding RNA is filed under the name Rattus norvegicus (Norway rat). The record is from RNAcentral. Lineage: Eukaryota; Metazoa; Chordata; Mammalia; Rodentia; Muridae.